GAGAUGGAUUGGUGCCUUCGGGAACGUCUGACACAGGUGCUGCAUGGCUGUCGUCAGCUCGUGUCGUGAGAUGUUGGGUUAAGUCCCGUAACGAGCGCAACCCUUGUCCUUAGUUACCAGCACGUUAUGGUGGGCGACUCUAAGGAGACUGCCGGUGACAAACCGGAAGGAAGGUGGGGGAGUGACGUCAAGUCAUCAUGGCCCUUACGGCCUGGGCGUACACACGUGCUACAAUGGUCGGUACAAAGGGUUGCCAAGCCGCGAGGUGGAGCUAAUCCCAUAAAACCGAUCGUAGUCCGGAUCGCAGUCUGCAACUCGACUGCGUGAAGUCGGAAUCGCUAGUAAUCGUGAAUCAGAAUGUCACGGUGAAUACGUUCCCGGGCCUU
RNAcentral lists this ribosomal RNA (386 nucleotides) under uncultured Pseudomonas sp. Its description in RNAcentral is "bacterial SSU rRNA". It matches the Rfam family "Bacterial small subunit ribosomal RNA", at positions 1003 to 1382 of the family's 1533-position model. Lineage: Bacteria; Pseudomonadati; Pseudomonadota; Gammaproteobacteria; Pseudomonadales; Pseudomonadaceae. The record is from RNAcentral.